GUUGAAAAACCAUGGGAUGAGCUGUGGAUAGCGGAGAAAUUCCAAUCGAACUCGGAGAUAGCUGGUUCUCCUCGAAAUAGCUUUAGGGCUAGCGUCGUGUAAUUGAGUAAUGGAGGUAGAGCACUGAAUGGGCUAGGGGCUAUAGUAGUUACCGAACCCUAUCAAACUCCGAAUGCCAUAUACUUGUAUCACGGCAGUCAGACUGCGAAUGAUAAGAUCCGUAGUCAAAAGGGAAACAGCCCAGACCAUCAGCUAAGGUCCCAAAGUGUAAGUUAAGUGGAAAAGGAUGUGGGAUUUCUAAGACAACUAGGAUGUUGGCUUAGAAGCAGCCACUCAUUUAAAGAGUGCGUAAUAGCUCACUAGUCAAGAGAUCCUGCGCCGAAGAUGUCCGGGGCUCAAACUUACCACCGAAGCUAUGGGUGUACACUAUGUGUACGCGGUAGAGGAGCUUUCUGUAUGGGUUGAAGUCGUACCGUAAGGAGCGGUGGACUGUACAGAAGUGAGAAUGCUGGCAUAAGUAGCGAGAAAUAAGUGAGAAUCUUAUUGGCCGAAAACCUAAGGUUUCCUGAGGAAGGUUCGUCCGCUCAGGGUUAGUCGGGACCUAAGCCGAGGCCGAAAGGCGUAGGUGAUGGACAAUCGGUUGAUAUUCCGAUACCACCUAUUUACGUUUGAGAAAUGGGGUGACGCAGUAGGAUAAGAUGUGCGCACUAUUGGAUGUGCGUCUAAGCACUUAGGCAUGCUUGAUAGGCAAAUCCGUCGAGCUAAGCUGAGGUGUGAUGGGGAGCCAUUUAUGGCGAAGUAUCUGAUUCCACACUGCCAAGAAAAGCCUCUAUCGAGUGAAUAGGUGCCCGUACCGCAAACCGACACAGGUAGGUGAGGAGAGAAUCCUAAGGCCAUCGGAAGAAUUGCUGUUAAGGAACUCGGCAAAUUGACCCCGUAACUUCGGGAGAAGGGGUGCCUACGAAAGUAGGCCGCAGAGAAUAGGCCCAAGCAACUGUUUAGCAAAAACACAGGUCUCUGCUAAAGCGAAAGCUGAUGUAUAGGGGCUGACGCCUGCCCGGUGCUGGAAGGUUAAGGGGAACACUUAGCGUAAGCGAAGGUGUGAACUUAAGCCCCAGUAAACGGCGGCCGUAACUAUAACGGUCCUAAGGUAGCGAAAUUCCUUGUCGGGUAAGUUCCGACCCGCACGAAUGGCGUAAUGAUUUGGGCACUGUCUCAACAGCAAAUCCGGCGAAAUUGUAGUGCAAGUGAAGAUGCUUGCUACCCGCGAUUGGACGGAAAGACCCCGUAGAGCUUUACUGUAGCUUAGCAUUGAAUCUCGGUAUUGUCUGUACAGGAUAGGUGGGAGACUUGGAAACUUGGGCGUCAGCCUGAGUGGAGUCAUCCUUGGGAUACCACCCUGACAGUACUGGGGUUCUAACCGGAGGCCAUGAAUCUGGUCACGGGACAUUGUUAGGUGGGCAGUUUGACUGGGGCGGUCGCCUCCUAAAAAGUAACGGAGGCGCCCAAAAGUUCCCUCAGCGCGGUCGGAAAUCGCGCGAAGAGUGCAAAGGCAGAAGGGAGCUUGACUGCGACACAUACAGGUGGAGCAGGGACGAAAGUCGGGCUUAGUGAUCCGGUGGUACCUCGUGGGAGGGCCAUCGCUCAACGGAUAAAAGCUACCUCGGGGAUAACAGGCUGAUCUCCCCCAAGAGUCCACAUCGACGGGGAGGUUUGGCACCUCGAUGUCGGCUCGUCGCAUCCUGGGGCUGAAGUAGGUCCCAAGGGUUGGGCUGUUCGCCCAUUAAAGCGGCACGCGAGCUGGGUUCAGAACGUCGUGAGACAGUUCGGUCCCUAUCCGUCGCGGGCGUAGGAAAUUUGAGAGGAGCUGUCCUUAGUACGAGAGGACCGGGAU
RNAcentral lists this ribosomal RNA (1894 nucleotides) under Clostridium sporogenes. Its description in RNAcentral is "bacterial LSU rRNA". It matches the Rfam family "Bacterial large subunit ribosomal RNA", at positions 788 to 2698 of the family's 2925-position model. The record is from RNAcentral. Lineage: Bacteria; Bacillati; Bacillota; Clostridia; Eubacteriales; Clostridiaceae.